Molecule: ribosomal RNA, 253 nt
Filed under: uncultured bacterium
Lineage: Bacteria
Description: partial 16S ribosomal RNA
Rfam family: Bacterial small subunit ribosomal RNA
Source: RNAcentral
UACGAGGGGGGCGAGCGUUGUUCGGAAUUAUUGGGCGUAAAGGGUGCGUAGGCGGUGCGGUAAGUCUUCUGUGAAAUCUCCGGGCUCAACUCGGAGCCUGCAGGAGAAACUGCCGUGCUUGAGUAUGGGAGAGGUGAGUGGAAUUCCUGGUGUAGCGGUGAAAUGCGUAGAUAUCAGGAGGAACACCUGUGGCGAAAGCGGCUCACUGGACCAUAACUGACGCUGAGGCACGAAAGCUAGGGGAGCAAACAGG